This 372-nucleotide ribosomal RNA is filed under the name uncultured bacterium. RNAcentral's name for it is "bacterial SSU rRNA". It matches the Rfam family "Bacterial small subunit ribosomal RNA", at positions 29 to 402 of the family's 1533-position model. The record is from RNAcentral.
AUUGAACGCUAGCGGCAUGCCUUACACAUGCAAGUCGAACGGCAGCACGGGGGCAACCCUGGUGGCGAGUGGCGAACGGGUGAGUAAUACAUCGGAACGUACCCAGUAGUGGGGGAUAACGUAGCGAAAGCUACGCUAAUACCGCAUACGCACUACGGUGGAAAGCGGGGGAUCGCAAGACCUCGCGCUAUUGGAGCGGCCAAUGGCAGAUUAGCUAGUUGGUGGGGUAAAGGCCUACCAAGGCGACGAUCUGUAGCUGGUCUGAGAGGACGACCAGCCACACUGGGACUGAGACACGGCCCAGACUCCUACGGGAGGCAGCAGUGGGGAAUUUUGGACAAUGGGGGCAACCCUGAUCCAGCAAUGCCGCGU